Molecule: ribosomal RNA, 659 nt
Filed under: uncultured Enterobacterales bacterium
Lineage: Bacteria; Pseudomonadati; Pseudomonadota; Gammaproteobacteria; Enterobacterales
Description: bacterial SSU rRNA
Rfam family: Bacterial small subunit ribosomal RNA
Source: RNAcentral
AAGAAGCUUGCUUCUUUGCUGACGAGUGGCGGACGGGUGAGUAAUGUCUGGGAAACUGCCUGAUGGAGGGGGAUAACUACUGGAAACGGUAGCUAAUACCGCAUAACGUCGCAAGACCAAAGAGGGGGACCUUCGGGCCUCUUGCCAUCGGAUGUGCCCAGAUGGGAUUAGCUAGUAGGUGGGGUAACGGCUCACCUAGGCGACGAUCCCUAGCUGGUCUGAGAGGAUGACCAGCCACACUGGAACUGAGACACGGUCCAGACUCCUACGGGAGGCAGCAGUGGGGAAUAUUGCACAAUGGGCGCAAGCCUGAUGCAGCCAUGCCGCGUGUAUGAAGAAGGCCUUCGGGUUGUAAAGUACUUUCAGCGGGGAGGAAGGGAGUAAAGUUAAUACCUUUGCUCAUUGACGUUACCCGCAGAAGAAGCACCGGCUAACUCCGUGCCAGCAGCCGCGGUAAUACGGAGGGUGCAAGCGUUAAUCGGAAUUACUGGGCGUAAAGCGCACGCAGGCGGUUUGUUAAGUCAGAUGUGAAAUCCCCGGGCUCAACCUGGGAACUGCAUCUGAUACUGGCAAGCUUGAGUCUCGUAGAGGGGGGUAGAAUUCCAGGUGUAGCGAUGAAAUGCGUAGAGAUCUGGAGGAAUACCGGUGGCGAAGGCGGC